Molecule: non-coding RNA, 28 nt
Filed under: Bombyx mori (domestic silkworm)
Lineage: Eukaryota; Metazoa; Arthropoda; Insecta; Lepidoptera; Bombycidae
Source: RNAcentral
UAUGAAUACAAACUAGCAGUGGUGUCUU